Molecule: ribosomal RNA, 488 nt
Filed under: uncultured bacterium
Lineage: Bacteria
Description: partial 16S ribosomal RNA
Rfam family: Bacterial small subunit ribosomal RNA
Source: RNAcentral
AUUGAACGCUGGCGGCAGGCCUAACACAUGCCAGUCGAACGGUAACAGGAAGAAGCUUGCUUCUUUGCUGACGAGUGGCGGACGGGUGAGUAAUGUCUGGGAAACUGCCUGAUGGAGGGGGAUAACUACUGGAAACGGUAGCUAAUACCGCAUAACGUCGCAAGACCAAAGAGGGGGACCUUCGGGCCUCUUGCCAUCGGAUGUGCCCAGAUGGGAUUAGCUAGUAGGUGGGGUAACGGCUCACCUAGGCGACGAUCCCUAGCUGGUCUGAGAGGAUGACCAGCCACACUGGAACUGAGACACGGUCCAGACUCCUACGGGAGGCAGCAGUGGGGAAUAUUGCACAAUGGGCGCAAGCCUGAUGCAGCCAUGCCGCGUGUAUGAAGAAGGCCUUCGGGUUGUAAAGUACUUUCAGCGGGGAGGAAGGGAGUAAAGUUAAUACCUUUGCUCAUUGACGUUACCCGCAGAAGAAGCACCGGCUAACUCCG